AAAAAAAGUUUAAUCUGAAAUUUAUAUAAAAAAACAAAAAUUGAAACUGCAAUGGAAAUUCCUUUAGAACAUCGAAGUGAUUCCAUGGUUCAAAAUCCUUCGUCAGAGAUAACAUCAACCAAUAGUAUGUUGUGUUUUUGCUGUUCUUGGACCUAUAUCUACAUGGGUAGGAUUAAAAGAGUUUCAAAUAAAUCCAAGGAAGGAUAUGGCCCACCAAUUGAAUGAUUCAGAAUGUGUUGCUACAAUCCAUAAGAGGAUUG
RNAcentral lists this unclassified non-coding RNA (260 nucleotides) under Hevea brasiliensis (rubber tree). Lineage: Eukaryota; Viridiplantae; Streptophyta; Magnoliopsida; Malpighiales; Euphorbiaceae. The record is from RNAcentral.